UGCGUCCUUCAUCUGCAAAGUU
This 22-nucleotide unclassified non-coding RNA is filed under the name Dictyostelium discoideum. Lineage: Eukaryota; Evosea; Eumycetozoa; Dictyosteliales; Dictyosteliaceae. The record is from RNAcentral.